This is a long non-coding RNA of Cydia fagiglandana, 392 nucleotides long. RefSeq lists it as uncharacterized. The record is from RefSeq and is a predicted model, not a curated record. The transcript is spliced from 2 exons. Lineage: Eukaryota; Metazoa; Arthropoda; Insecta; Lepidoptera; Tortricidae.
UCUUCUCAGAUGCUGACCACUUCGAGAUCAGCUUCCCUGCUGACGCUACCGUCGGUGUUAAGGCUGCUAUCAUUGGAACUUGUUUCCUUAUAGUAAGUCAUAUCAACCUUAACGUCUGAUAGCUGGGGUGGGUGCGAGAACUCUUCUCAGAUGCUGACCACUUCGAGAUCAGCUUCCCUGCUGACGCUACCGUCGGUGUCAAGGCUGCUAUCAUUGGGACUUGUUUCCUUAUAGACUUCCUGCAUUACGAAAACUGAUCGGCGAAGCUGAAGAUGUUAUCUUUGAUGUCAUCUUAUUAUAAAACGCAUUUAAAAUAAGAUAAACCGCACUAUAUAGUGCAUUAAAAUAUUAUCUACGUACUGUUUACAAAAUAAACAAUUAUAACGAUAAUU